This is a long non-coding RNA of Telopea speciosissima, 176 nucleotides long. RefSeq lists it as uncharacterized. The record is from RefSeq and is a predicted model, not a curated record. NCBI's taxonomy places the organism in Eukaryota, Viridiplantae, Streptophyta, Magnoliopsida, Proteales, Proteaceae. The transcript has 4 exons.
UAGUGAAGAUGUUGUUUUGGGUGAGAUCGAUUGGGAGGUUGCUGAGAUACUAGUCUAGGCUUGGGGUGAGGCUCUUCAAGCCAUAUCUUCUUCUAAUUUUCUAUUCUGCUUCUGCUAGUAUCCUUCAUGCGAUAUCAAGUAAGUCACACUAUUCUGUUCCUGAGUUUGUUGAUUAA